UUUCAAAUCACAUAUGGCUUCUUUGACCCCAUAAAAUAACUUUAUUCACACAAACGUCCCUUAAUUUACAAAGCCUCAGUCAUCCAUACACAUUAGGGGGAUCCACAGUGUUCAAGGAACUUAAAUAUAAUGUAUCAUACCAACCCAAGUAAACCAAGUACAAAAAAUAUUCAUAUAAAGUUGUUCACACGUAGGUCCUAGAUUACCAGCUUCUGUGCAAAAAAAGAAAAUAAAGAAAAAUAGAUUUAUUAACUAGUAUUUGAAACUAACUUUGUGCCUCGGUUAAAACCUCCCUCACACCCAAGUUGGCCCCACACGAAUGUUAAAUCGUUGCAACAUACUCUCCUGCUCUGAUGGAGAGAGGAGACCCUGCCCCUAGACCUAGGCAGGCAGGAUCAGAGAUGGGCUUGUGUUGUCCCGAACGCUGUGCCUCAGCCUGGUGUGCGAGAAUGGCCAUGGCACUCCCUCUGGGCCUGGUGGCCUGAAGAGCUGAGUGCAAGCUUGGCUGUUGUCAAGUUGCCAGUUCCUAGGAGACUCUGGUAGCCAUCUCUGCCUGGGGGCUGCCAUAAGGCCCAGGAAGGGGAAAAGAGUCAUUGGGGAGCAAUAACCCAAGAGCCCCACUUAGAAUCAGAGCCACCGGUGCCCCCAGAUGUCUGUGUGUGGGGCGCAUGAGCAGGAUCAAAGGUGGGAGGUGUACCUGGCAGGCAGGGCUGGGAGCUCAGGCAGCCUUGGCAUGGAGCAAGGAGAGGGCAGAGAGGGUCCCCUCCUUAGGGGGUGAAAGCCCAACUCUUGCUUUCCCAAGCUUCCAAAAGAUACCCCAAGGCUGAAACCCAGGCAUCCAUCCUAUUAAGAUCUGUCUUCUAAGAAGGUAAACAGCCAACAGCAUAAAAAGAAAGAAGAUUCCCAUAAUGCCAGCUCUUUUCCUUUUCUUAGAAAAAGACUCAAGCAAAAAUAAUCAUCUUAUUGCUCCAAACGCUGGCUUUCUAGGAGACAAGUGAUAUGUUCAGGAGCUGAGAACCUUGGAGGAAGGGAAUGACAGAGGUGGGAACGUCCAGGGGGACGAGGGCUGUGAGAAAGGUGGUGAGUGGUCUUAGCACCGCAGGGCCAGGGGGCAGGGAAAGUCCAGGGCGCGCACCCCUGCCCCUGGCGUCUCUGCCUUCAUUCGCUCUGGGACCACCACUGGCCGUGCCAUACAUGAGGCCAUACAUGUCCAGAGAGUCAGAGCUCCACCCACUGUUGGGCACACUUCUCCUCCAGCUGUAAACAGGGUACUUCUUAAGUAAACAUUGAAUACACUCCCUCAGAAAGGCAGCCAAGGUGGGCAAACCAUGUCCGGGUGGGAGGAAAGAGUUCCUAUUCUCCUGUCCCAAUGCCUCUGGGAUGAGAUGAGACUAAGGCCUGAGACCUUAGUCCCCAGUGCCCAGAAGGGGGUCAGAUGGAGCAUCUUGAGUGAACAGACUGUGGCAUCCUCCUGGCUAGAGGUAAGAAGCAGGGGACCUGCUGGGUAGUGAGACGCAGAGACGCGCACCUGUCUGAAGCACAGUUCUCCUGUCCUCGGCUAAAGCUGCUAGUGAGUGCCCUGGUGGUGGGCGGGGAGACAUGUGCCUGGACACAGCCCGCAGGAAGGGGUCGGGAGGUCAUGUGGGGGAGUAAUCCUGCCCAUAGACUAUCUGUGAGUGGGAACAGAGUUUAAGUGACAGAUGGACCCAGACAGGGAGAAAGAUGCGUACUUCCUACUGAGCCAGGUGGCCUGGUGAGGGGAGGGCAAUGGAGUAAGGCACUAAGAUCUGUCUUGCUGAUUCUUCUCCCUGAAGGGAAACCGAGCUCAGACCCAUGGGGCUGAGGCCCGGAACCUCCCUCCAAGAGGCUAUCCUUUUCACAGAUCCAGAGAGAAGAGAAUAACUGACUGCUAUUUUAAGGUUUGGAAACUCCUAGAACUUGGACAGGCCUAACAAACUUGGUGGCACUCAGAUGACGCACCACAGGGUUGUUGCCAGGCCCAAGACCCAGGUGGAGAGGGUGAAACGGCAGGAAGAGGCGAGGAAGCGGACCCACGGUGGGAAGAGGUGGAAAAUGGCUAAGAAAGGUGACAGGAGCUCCCCGAGCCAGACCCCAAGGCUGGGCCACUGACUGGGCAGAGGCAGCGCUCACUCCAGGCUGACUCCCACCUAACAGGCCGGGUGCCUGAGGCGGACUGAGUGGAGAGAGCAGCAGAGGGACAGGGAGGCACUUGGGGGCUAACGAGCUGGCCCUCAUGACCUAGGGAAGGAGGUCCCAUCAACAAGCAAGGAUGGCUGGGAGUCCUGCAGAUAAGGGUGCAUGGAAGCUGGUUGCCUGUUCACCCGAAAGGUAUGGGCAUCCUGUGACCCACAGGGGGUACUCUGGUGCCAAGAAAAAUAAAGGGGAGCACUACAGCUCCAAGACCUUGUUUAGACAGAGCUGAGACCAGGGAGGGCAGAAAAAAGAUUAAGCAAAAGGUGAAUGACUUGUCAGGCUUGAGCCCUCACUAGGGACUUUAGAGCAUGGGCUGGAGCCAGGGAGAGCUGGGGGUGCCGAGUCCGGGGACUGUUUUUCCCAUCUGCUCCUGUACAGAGACAGCCGCCCCCAGGGAAGCAGGGUGGUGGGGCCGAGAAGGAGGGCACACUGCAAUGAGGGGAUGCCGCUCAACCAAGCCUCCAGCUGCGGCUCAGGCUACACUCAGGAGGUCGCCUGGGAAGUCAGAGAAGAGCCGAGAGACAGGCGAUCACCAAGGAUUUCAGCCAAGGAAGGGAGGGGCCUGGGUACCACCUGCAGCCCUGCCGGAUCUGCCAACCACAGCCAAUCGUCUGCCCAGGAGGAAGAGUAGCCUUAGUAUUUGAGGGGUUGGGAAAACAACGUGAGUGAACAUAUUGCCGAGUCUGGUCUGAUGCCGUGCUGGUCUCUCCCAAACUGCCAGCGCCAAAGGACUGCUGCUUUUAGGGGGAAGCCCCCCUUGGUCACACAUCAACUUAACUGCCCUCCAACUAUCUCCCCUAUUGAACCUAUGCUGGCUUAGAGAAAACAAAAAACAAAAUUAAACACAAAAGAGGAAUUCCUUUCUCCUUCCCCAAAGCCCCUUUCCUGCUCGGCCAUAAUCGGGUGAAAAGCCUUUGGAGAAGCCAAAGUUGUUUCCUGGUGAGAGGGACAACACAGGAAUAGCGCCUCCCACCCUCCUUGCAAGGGGACAGAACAGACAGGUUCAGAAGCCUGCGAGGGCGGCGGCUGCAAGAGCAUCAGUAAGGAGUGUCAGCACGGUUACACAGAGGUGCUUAGAUCCACACUGGCGGUGAGGUCGAAGGAGUCACGUCGGGAAGCUUUAAAGUGGCCAGGCCCCAGAUGGACACCUAGCGGCUGCGGGGUGUCCACCUGGUCACCUCUCUGCAGGUCCACUCUUUUCCCACCAGACACAUUUACAUGGAGGGUAGACACCUAACAGUAAGUCCCUGGGAGUGAGGGAGAUGGUGCCUGACACUGUCACCAUAUGUGACACCAUGGCGCCCAGCAUACAGGGCACACCCUUCACUGCCAGGAGAUGACAGUGGCGGCCAGUUCAGGACACCCUGUUCUUAUGGCAAUGGUCACAACUGGAUCUCAGGGACAUCGGCAGUCUCUGUGAUAACCUGGACAUUUGGUGAACACAUCUAGGAGGAAGACAAUCCAGGAGGCAGUAGGUGGUGGGUGCUGACCUCACAGGAGUGACAAAUGCCCGAGGAAGACCCCGCUGUGUCCCGGGCAGAGGUUUGGCACGACAGUUUUUUCCUGGGGAACUUCCUCUGGAAAGGUGGGCUUGCAGAACUGGGGCGCUGGCCGCUCAACUGCCAGGAAGUGGGAGAUGGUCACCUUCUGUCCCUCCUCAGAGCUCCCGGUCAGAAAGGGCAGAAGAGGGAAUGGAGUCCCCCCACUAUAAGGCCUGGUGUGGCCCGGGGCUUCCGACGACGUAAAGAGAACAAGCGCACAGGUUAGACCUUCUUUCUCAAGUUCUCCUGGCCAAACCCUGGCCUUCUUCUUCCAGGUGUUCUUUGCCUCUGAUCAUUUCCAAGGCCCCAGGGCUAGACAGGAGCAGCCGCCAGAGUCCGGCCGUUCCUGCAUCUGGUGGGGAGGUGGCCCAAUGCCUCCUUCUGUCUUAAUGCCCCCAUCCCAGGAGAAAUCCCAAAAUUCUCCCCGGAGAGGCAGGCCUUCUCUGGGGAAGUGAGGUGUGAUACGCAGAGCUGAGAGAUGGGUACAAGAAAGACAACAGGGAAAUAUAAAGGACAAAAACAAAAUAGCUCCCAAACCCCUUAUAAAAAUUAGAAAGGAAACUUAUACGUAUGCUUUGUCCAUGUUGAAUUUCUUUAAAGAAAUUGGUGCCUGUCCACAGCAUAGCUUCCUGCUCUUCUGAAGUCUUAAUCGUUUAAAUUAAAAAAAGAAAAGAAAAGAAAAAGACAAAAAAGAAAAGAAAAUUAAAAAAAUUAAGUGAAACUAAAAGGAGGAGGAAAACCCAAAAGCUUCACAUUGCCGGAGAUCCAGCUGUCGGGAGAUCGCCAACCGACCAAGCCACCACCUGUACCCUCUGCCGUCCUGUGUGCGAGACAUGAUGAGACUGUGGGUCCCGAGGAUCAACCUGGAAGACAGAAGGCAGGGAACGAAUGGACAUGGGGGUCAGCAGGCCUGGGGCCUCCAAGCUCCAGAACCCCCAGGAGGUGCCAGCACCCAACCCAGACGAACUCAGGAGCUAUGAGGUGCUGGGGAGCAGGGGAGAAGGCUUUACCACAACCACCCUGCCGUGGACACAGUAUUCUCCUUUUUCAGGUAAGGAAACUGAGCCACAGGUUAAGCGCCAUGCCCAAGGUCACAUCAACUGAGGGGCAGAGCUUCAUAAUGGGGAACCCAGGCAUGACGGCUCCAACGACAAAUCCGAUCAUGAACCCCAUCCCUCUAAUGGCUUCUCUGAAUUACGAGCACACAAUGCCACAGGACCCUAGCUGUCUAUCCCCGCAGGCCCUGGCAGCCCCCGUCCCCUCCUACUUCCCGCCCACCCUCUCUGACUAACCGUGCUGUACUGAGACUUCGCAGCAACUCUCUUGAGUUUAUUUAUCCCGUUUUAGAGACAAGAAAAGGGAGGCUCAGGCCUCUGGGAACCUGCAUGAGGGAACCAAGGUUCUCAAGCCUUAAGAGGGGCCAGAGUCCCACAGCCAGGGGCAGUGUAGACUCAGAGUCACCCGCGUGGCCCCACACUGCAGUACACUGCACCGUUUAAACCUCACUUCCCCAGGGAACGCCUGCCUCUCCAGGGAGAAUUCUGGGAUUUCUCCUGGAACGAGACACGGAGCCAGAAUCUGUGGCUGAGUUCACAGGGUCUGCCACUUGACCAUGGCCAAAUUUAGGUCCUUGGUUCCUUGGUCUCAUCACCUCUACCCAUUCACAGGUUGUUAUGAGUACCAAGUGAACUAACACGUGUAAAACUCAGAACAGUGCCUGGCCAUAUUAUUAUGAGCUAUUAUUUGGGAAUCGCCUUGGUCCCAGGCCUCAGGACCUCUCAGUGGAGGUUGAGAAUACAAGAACCUACAGAGAUUAGCCUUGGGCCAGCCCCCACCCCCAGCCUGGCUUUCCCAGUCUGAGCCGUCUGAGCAGAGCUAAGUAUAGCCCUACCCUGGGCAGGGCGGGCACCCAGGGCAGCGACGCUCUGUCACACGGACUCAUCUGAUAGUUUCCAAGUGCCGGCUCUCAUUCUGAGCACUGACGCCAACACGUCCAGCACUGUGCGCUUGAAAUCCCCCCUGGGCUCCAAUGCUCUGGGAGCGCUCUGUAGCCCGAGAGGUGUACCCUCCCAGCCCCGCGCCCUCCCCACCAUUACUUGCCACCUGUGCAGUCUGACAAUACUGGUCCGCUGUCCUCAGGUCCUGGAGAGACGCCUCACUAGUCUCCAUGAGAGGCAGCAGGGUACAGCAGUACUGGAUGAUUUGCUACCUGUCAGCCUCAGUUUCCUCCUCUGAGAAAUGGGGGGCUCCUUUCUCAGGUUUGAGGGGACUACAAAGCAGCCAACCACAGCAGGAAGUGACACACUCCAUGAGCCCAUCUCUGAUGGCCAUUGACCCCAACCAGAGAUUACAACUGUGUCAAAUUUAAACAGGCUGUGAUCCUCGGCCACUUCACCACCAACGCUGCUUCUACCUGGGUCAGGGUACAUGGCAAGGACGCACCCCAUGUGGCGAGUGUCACCAAGCCUUCGGGAGAGCAACCUGGCAAGGUGUUUUCAGAGCUUCCAAUGUGUUUAGACCCAUAGACCUUAUAAUUCCACUUCUGGAAAUGUAGCUUAACCAACAAUGCGAAAUAUGAAAAGGACUUUAUGAAUAAGGAUGCUCACUGAAGUAUUACUUAAAUUAUGAGGCAAGAAACCACAAAUCCAAAAGUAAGAGAUUUAAGCAAAUGUUGUACCUACUCAAUGACAUAUUACAGAGGAGAUGAGAAGGCUGUGUGGCACUGUCAGCACUAUGGCAGAAGCACUUCCCUGGGUUAAGUGGAAAAAAGUAGGUUACAAAGUUCUGUGGCAUAUAGUAUGACCAAAGCUAUGUAAAACAAACACCUCCAAGUAUAGGAAAAUCUGGCAAGAAGUAUAUCGAAAUGUUGUACUUGUGAGCACAUCUUCUUCUUCCCCUGCUUUUCCACCGUAUUUUCACACAGGCGUACCUCAGAGGCAUUGCGGGUUCAGUUCCAGACCACCGCAAUAAGGCAAAUAUUGCAAUUAAGUGAGUCACACAAAUUUUUCGGUUUCCCAGUGCAUAUAAAAGCUAUGUUUACACUCUACUAUAGUCUAUUAAGUGUGCAACAGCACUACAUCUGAAUGUACAAUGUACAUACCUUAAUUAAAAAAUACUUUGCUAAAAAAUGCUAACCAUCAUCCGAGCCUUCAGAGAGUCGUAAUGCUUUUGCUGGUGGAAGGUCUUGUAAAAAACGCACUAUCUGCAAAGUGCAAUAAAACAAGGGUUGCCUGUAUUGAGUACCCAUCACACUGUCAUGCUUUACUUUUUAAUGGGAAAAACAGUGUCCUUUAGGGAAUAAGAAAAGCUAGCAACUCCAAAGAAAGGUAGCAGCCAAAAGACCAGACGCAUGCUGCUCCACAUACAGCGGACAACGGAGAAUUUCCCACACGCAUCAGACGACGUCAGACUGCGAUUCCCUCCUCCACCGCACAGGUGAGGGUGACCCAGUGUCCGCAUGUAGAGUAAAGUGGAGAUGAAUGAUAAAGAUGCUGGGGAAAAAAAGGAUUUGAUCUGGAAAGAAAAUACUGGACUUCCCAGCCCCAACCUUUUCCUCGGCUGCUUCUGUUUCCCUGCCUUCAAUUAGCAAAAAUCCACUAGUGAGUCUUGUAUCCCAGUUUUUGCCUUGGAAAAACCCACUUAUCAUAAGCACGCCCCGUAAUGAUCCAGCAGUCAUCUCAAAUCUAGCUUUAUUCAACACGCCUACUCUCUUCUCCCUGUGCUUUCCAGAGAUGAAGCAGAGCAACCAGAAGAUGGGGGGAGCGAAGGUUUGGAGGGAACCUCACCAUCCAAGACACUCUAAGUCCUUGUGAAAGAUGACAAGAAAAGCCCAGGAAAUCGCAUGGUCAUGUAUGAUCUGCUAAGACAAUCUUUGGAACCAGUUACGACCUUUUUAACACUGCCUUCCUCCCUCCCUUGGUGGGACCCAAGCUGAGGACAACCUCCUCAAAAGGAUGACCAUCAGCAGGAAGGUGGCCCAUGGCAACUGGAGAGCAGUGCUGGCAAGGAGGCAGAGAUUCAGAAGCCAGAAGUCCCUUUUACAUCAUAAACUAGUGGAACAGAGUGUUGACUACAGAAGGUCAAAAAAACAGCAUAGCACAGCACUCUGCAAGACCUCCUGAAACAGCAGCGUCUAAGGACCGCUGUAAUCACUGGGUCCCUUGCCAGGAAGCGAGGCUGACAUUUCCCACAGGCUCCUCCACCCUGGCUCCAGCUUUGGCACUGGCUGCGGCCCUCCUGGUAGGACGCCUCAGGACAGCCUGCAGGUCUCAGUCUGCUUCUCCCUAGUGGGCAGGGCCAAUGAAAAUCAGAGGGCUCUCUCUUCCAUGGAGAGGACCUUGGCUUUGGGUUCCUCUAGGGGUCCCCACUAGAGAAGGUACACCUCCCCCAAGGAGCAAUGGCAGUAACUGCACUGGAAGAGAGCAGGGGCCCUUUCUACAGCCAUGAGUAGGAAUGGCUCGGACCACAGAGCUCUGGGUUGAAGUUGCAGCAGACCCUCCCAGGCACUUGCCGGAACAGGAAGUGGUAUAGGCCCUUGCACUCCAUCCCAGCAGAUGUCACACUUUAGCUCCCUGACUGCUCAGGCUGCGGCCUGACUGCCCAGCUCAGCUUCAAGCAGGGCUUGCCUUGUCCCUUUCAGCGGAACCCUACCUCCGACCAGAGCCCUCCUACUGGGCGAAGCCACAGCUGC
This 8445-nucleotide long non-coding RNA is filed under the name Equus asinus (donkey). RNAcentral describes it as "lncRNA (ENSEASG00005025882.1)". The record is from RNAcentral. Lineage: Eukaryota; Metazoa; Chordata; Mammalia; Perissodactyla; Equidae.